Molecule: ribosomal RNA, 579 nt
Filed under: uncultured bacterium
Lineage: Bacteria
Description: bacterial SSU rRNA
Rfam family: Bacterial small subunit ribosomal RNA
Source: RNAcentral
ACGGGUGAGUAAUGUCUGGGGAUCUGCCCGAUAGAGGGGGAUAACCACUGGAAACGGUGGCUAAUACCGCAUAACGUCGCAAGACCAAAGAGGGGGACCUUCGGGCCUCUCACUAUCGGAUGAACCCAGAUGGGAUUAGCUAGUAGGCGGGGUAAUGGCCCACCUAGGCGACGAUCCCUAGCUGGUCUGAGAGGAUGACCAGCCACACUGGAACUGAGACACGGUCCAGACUCCUACGGGAGGCAGCAGUGGGGAAUAUUGCACAAUGGGCGCAAGCCUGAUGCAGCCAUGCCGCGUGUAUGAAGAAGGCCUUCGGGUUGUAAAGUACUUUCAGCGGGGAGGAAGGCGAUAAGGUUAAUAACCUUGUCGAUUGACGUUACCCGCAGAAGAAGCACCGGCUAACUCCGUGCCAGCAGCCGCGGUAAUACGGAGGGUGCAAGCGUUAAUCGGAAUUACUGGGCGUAAAGCGCACGCAGGCGGUCUGUUAAGUCAGAUGUGAAAUCCCCGGGCUUAACCUGGGAACUGCAUUUGAAACUGGCAGGCUUGAGUCCCGUAGAGGGGGGUAGAAUUCCAGGUGUA